CUACGGGUCGCUGCAGUGAGGAAUAUUGCACAAUGGGGGGAACCCUGAUGCAGCAACGCCGCGUGGAGGAUGACGCAUUUCGGUGUGUAAACUCCUUUUAUAUGUCAAGAAAAUGACGGUAGCAUAUGAAUAAGCACCGGCUAACUCCGUGCCAGCAGCCGCGGUAAUAAGGAGGGUGCAAGCGUUACUCGGAAUCACUGGGCGUAAAGGACGCGUAGGCGGGUUGGAAAGUCAGGUGUGAAAUCCUACAGCUUAACUGUAGAACUGCACUUGAAACUUCUAAUCUAGAGUAUGGGAGGGGGAGAUGGAAUUAGUGGUGUAGGGGUAAAAUCCGUAGAUAUCACUAGGAAUACCUAAAGCGAAGGCGAUCUCCUGGAACAUUACUGACGCUAAGGCGUGAAAGCGUGGGGAGCAAACAGGACUAGAUACCCUCGUAGUC
RNAcentral lists this ribosomal RNA (439 nucleotides) under uncultured bacterium. RNAcentral describes it as "partial 16S ribosomal RNA". It matches the Rfam family "Bacterial small subunit ribosomal RNA", at positions 339 to 795 of the family's 1533-position model. The record is from RNAcentral.